UGGCUAUGAGGACAAAAAGUGCACUGAACUACUUUGAUUAAUUUAUACGCUAUUCUGAGCCAACA
Molecule: small nucleolar RNA, 65 nt
Filed under: Podarcis muralis (Common wall lizard)
Lineage: Eukaryota; Metazoa; Chordata; Lepidosauria; Squamata; Lacertidae
Description: Small nucleolar RNA U54 (ENSPMRG00000022404.1)
Rfam family: Small nucleolar RNA U54
Source: Rfam by way of RNAcentral